GGCGGGAUGCUGGAGUGGUUGAACAGGCCUGUCUUGAAAACAGGUGUGCCGCUUAAAACGGCACCAGAGGUUCGAAUCCUCUUCCCGCCGCCA
Molecule: transfer RNA, 93 nt
Filed under: bacterium (Candidatus Torokbacteria) CG09_land_8_20_14_0_10_42_11
Lineage: Bacteria
Description: tRNA-Ser
Rfam family: tRNA
About the family: Transfer RNA (tRNA) molecules are approximately 80 nucleotides in length.
Source: RNAcentral